UACAGAGGUCCCAAGCGUUGUUCGGAUUCACUGGGCGUAAAGGGUGCGUAGGCGGUCGGAUAAGUCUGAUGUGAAAUCUUCGAGCUCAACUCGGAAACUGCAUCGGAAACUAUCUGGCUAGAGGAUUGGAGGGGAGACUGGAAUUCUCGGUGUAGCAGUGAAAUGCGUAGAUAUCGAGAGGAACACCAGUGGCGAAGGCGAGUCUCUGGACAAUUCCUGACGCUGAGGCCCGAAAGCUAGGGGAGCAAACAGG
This 253-nucleotide ribosomal RNA is filed under the name uncultured bacterium. RNAcentral describes it as "partial 16S ribosomal RNA". It matches the Rfam family "Bacterial small subunit ribosomal RNA", at positions 524 to 776 of the family's 1533-position model. The record is from RNAcentral.